GACAUCAACUCAUGCGUGACUACCCCCUAAAUUUAAGCA
Molecule: ribosomal RNA, 39 nt
Filed under: Phlebotomus ariasi
Lineage: Eukaryota; Metazoa; Arthropoda; Insecta; Diptera; Psychodidae
Description: partial 28S ribosomal RNA
Source: RNAcentral